Long non-coding RNA from Oncorhynchus keta (chum salmon), 2672 nucleotides. RefSeq lists it as uncharacterized. The record is from RefSeq and is a predicted model, not a curated record. Lineage: Eukaryota; Metazoa; Chordata; Actinopteri; Salmoniformes; Salmonidae. The transcript is spliced from 5 exons.
GUGACCCUAAAUGUACAUUCAAAUAAAUAAAAACAAAUUUAUACGUACGUUAAUUCAUACGUAGAAUGUAUGCACACAUGACUGUAAGUCGCUUUGGAUAAAAGCGUCAGCUAAAUGGCAUAUAUUAUUAUUAUUUUAUUAUAGGCCUCCGCAUCGCCGUGCGGACUACGAAUAGCUCCAUAUAGCUCCGCAUUAACAUGAUUGGUUGGUAGGGGGGGGGGGGGCGGUACUUCCUGUAUAAAUACAUACUUCUUUGACUACUUCCUUCGCAACAGCUCUGCUCUGCUCAGCAAGUAUGAAUGCCUCCGUAAAUGCUGUGCCGCAAAUGCAGACACCGGAAUAACCAUAAAUCUACUAAUACAGAGUACUUAUACAGUGCAUUCAGGAAGUAUUCAGGAAGUAUUCAGGAAGUAUUCAGACCCCUUGACUUUUUCCACAUUUUGUUACACCCUUACUCAAAAAAUGGAUUUAAAUAUUUUUUUCUUCGUUAAUUUACACACAAUACCCCAUAAUGACAAAGACAAAUCAUUUUUUUUUUUAGAAAUUUUAGCAAAUAUAUAAAGAAAAAUAAUCAGAAAUAUCACAUUUACAUAAGUAUUCAGACCCUUUACUCAGUACUUUGUUGAAGCACCUUUGGCAGCGAUUACAGCCUCGAGUCUUCUUGGGUAUGAACCGUCACUUGAAAACUAGUGAACCAAAGGAGACGUAAUAUAUACGCUAGUGUUGAAUGGAGCCAAAACCACUCCCUUUUCCCGGGAUAAAUACCAGCGAGAAACCGGUCAAUUAUAAUCAAAUAUUAUAAUACAUUAUUUAUAUGAACAUGACGUGCAAAUGGAAACUGUUAAAAUGAUAUAUGUGUGGAUGUCUAAAUCUGGAUUCUAUACGGCCUUCUCUUCUCGGCCUGGUCACUACAUGAUCAACGCUCAGGAUGGAAACCGACAGCUAUGGACCUAUCAUCUCAUCAUGGUGACUUUUAUUACAGUGCCUUGAGAAAGUAUUCGGCCCCCUUGAACUUUGCGACCUUUUUCCACAUUUCAGGCUUCAAACAUAAAGAUAUAAAACUGUAUUUUUUUGUGAAGAAUAAACAACAAGUGGGACACAAUCAUGAAGUGGAACAACAUUUAUUGGAUAUUUCAAACUUUUUUAACAAAUCAAAAACUGAAAAAUUGGGCGUGCAAAAUUAUUCAGCCCUUUUACUUUCAGUGCAGCAAACUCUCUCCAGAAGUUCAGUGAGGAUCUCUGAAUGAUCCAAUGAUCUCUGAAUGAUCCAAUGUUGACCUAAAUGACUAAUAAGGCACUGUAUUUACUGUGACAGGUGGACCCACGUUUCCUGCAGCAUAGGCUAUGCUACAGUAAUAUAAAAAGAGGGAAUGCGCUGUCAAAGUGACACAUCUCCAUCUGGAUGUCAUGGGGUCACCUUAUUUUUUUAAUAUAUAUUUUUUUAAAUUGUAAGGAUUAUUUUGUUUUAAAUUCCAAAGUUUUAAAACACUCAUAUAUCGUUGCUUUAAAUCAGUACACAAGCGAGUGGUCUUUCUCUCUCUCUCUCCAUCAAUUCCAUUCAAAUUGUAUCCAAAAUAGAUCAUCCUGUUCUAGAUUGAUAUACAUAGUCCUAUAUAUAUAUAUAGAUGUCCUAGCCUAUUUCUUUCAGGUAAUACAUUCAACGCAGGUUUAGUCUUAUAUUUGGCUAAUGAACGAUGGCCUUUGUUUAACUGAUAGCCUCUGUCUCUUGCGUAAUACCUAAGUCCCUGUGCUCCGCUGGCCCCUCCUUAGAUAACACUCCUGAGCUCUUGGAGUCCCAUGCAGGAAAAGAUACACUAGAUAGAAGAGCUUGCUUUUUUUGUUUUUUGUUUUUGUUACCAGUGACAGACAGGUUGCCUCCCACCAGGUUACCAGUGACAGACAGGUUGCCUCCCACCAGGUUACCAGUGACAGACAGGUUGCCUCCCACCAGGUUACCAGUGACAGACAGGUUGUGACAGACAGGUUGCCUCCCACCAGGUUACCAGUGACAGACAGGUUGUGACAGACAGGUUGCCUCCCACCAGGUUACCAGUGACAGACAGGUUGUGACAGACAGGUUGCCUCCCACCAGGUUACCAGUGACAGACAGGUUGUGACAGACAGGUUGCCUCCCACCAGGUUACCAGUGACAGACAGGUUGCCUCCCACCAGGUUACCAGUGACAGACAGGUUGCCUCCCACCAGGUUACCAGUGACAGACAGGUUGUGACAGACAGGUUGCCUCCCACCAGGUUACCAGUGACAGACAGGUUGUGACAGACAGGUUGCCUCCCACCAGGUUACCAGUGACAGACAGGUUGUGACAGACAGGUUGCCUCCCACCAGGUUACCAGUGACAGACAGGUUGUGACAGACAGGUUGCCUCCCACCAGGUUACCAGUGACAGACAGGUUGUGACAGACAGGUUGCCUCCCACCAGGUUACCAGUGACAGACAGGUUGUGACAGACAGGUUGCCUCCCACCAGGUUACCAGUGACAGACAGGUUGUGACAGACAGGUUGCCUCCCACCAGGUUACCAGUGACAGACAGGUUGCCUCCCACCAGGUUACCAGUGCUGUAGCUCUCGGUCUGGGAUUGUGACACAUAACUUGUCAUGUGUGUUAUAAGUGCAUGGAUUAUAAACGACCCAUUGUCCUCUAUGGUCUCUAU